This is a long non-coding RNA of Melospiza melodia melodia, 2907 nucleotides long. RefSeq lists it as uncharacterized. The transcript has 4 exons. The record is from RefSeq and is a predicted model, not a curated record. Lineage: Eukaryota; Metazoa; Chordata; Aves; Passeriformes; Passerellidae.
CCCCGCCCUGUCCCGGCGGCAGCGCUCCAGCCCGCCCUUGCGUAUCCUCAUUUAGGAUCCUAAAAUCAUCUUUCGUGCGUGCCCUGGAUUUAAUCUCCCUCCGUCCCACACGAUGCCCGCAGCGGCGUGCCCUACAUAACAUGGGCAGGGAGAGGGACUUCACUGCAGUGCUGGCAUGGGCGGGCUGCUGGGGGAAGGGAGGAGAGGGCGCGUUUCCAAAUUGUCAUGAUCACAAGAAAUUCUUGUGAUUCUCCAAGCGGCUCCCUUGCUUUAGCAGCAAGGAUACCGUGCUGGGAUUUAAGCUGCUGAACACAAGAAGGGAGCAAAUAUUGCCAAUUUCGUUCCCGACAGCACAGCAGCGGCUGCUCUUCCCUCGGCAGGAUGGGCUGCAGCGAAGCUACGGGAAAGGGAGGGGUGUGCUCCGCUGAGAUCGGCCCGUCUGCAUCCAACACAGCCGCGAGAGCAGAGGCAUUCCCAUCCGUGCCAGCAGAAAAUAAAGACAUUGUCUCAGUCACCCAAGACCAUUCACAUUGUCAGCAUAGCCAUUACUUGGAAAUUUUCGUUCCUUCUCACAUGAGAUGUCUUCUGCUGCACAUCCCACAAAUCAAGCCUACUGUUCAAAGUCUCUGUGGAGGCUCCAGGCCCACCCACAGGGUUUGAUUCUUGCACCAAACCCAGCUUGGUUCUCUGGAACAAGUAGUAGUUUUCUGGGGCACUGCCAUCCACAAGAUAAACUGCAGAUACGAGCAUUCCUGAAAGAGGCAAUCUUGGGAGCUGCCAGGGACAGGACUGUUGUGGUGGAAAAUUAGUCAGCUGGAGCUCUCAUCUGGUCUGGUCUGGUCCCUGCUCUUGUCUUUGCUGCACCUGGAGCUGUUUUCAGGAAACACCACUCCUGUCCCAGAGGCACCAGGACACACUGCUCUUGCCUGGAGGAAGAACCACAAAGAAACACGAGGUGACCGUCAAUCUGGGAGGGAGAGAAGUUAUGUGGAAUGGACAGGUCUUGUCCUCUCCACUCCCAUCCUGGGGAGAAAAGGGUGAGGCUGAAUGAGACAUGGCUCAGCUCCUGACCAGAGCCCGCAGCUUUCCAGGAAGCCCCAAUAGCUGUGUGUCCACAGGACCUCUGCCCAGAGCCAUCCCAUAGAACCCAACCAAGUCUGUUCAGUGCCUUCCUGCACCACAUAUCAAACAGCUGUGAGCUUCAGCCAGCGUGCCCACAGCCUUUCCUCCUCCUCUUCCCUCCAACUAGUCACUCCCAGCCAGGCUUCUCUGACUAUCUAGCUUGUUGCUUGUUGCUUUCUGGCCCAUGUUUUUCCCCCCAGCUGUCCUACAUAGUUACAUCCUCUGUGCCCAGCCAGUGACCAACACACCUCCCAGCUCAUACGUGUCAGGAACUGUCUGCUGCUCACUGUGCACAGGACACUACACAACAUGGCCCUGUUCCUGGUGGCAAUGGCAGCAGCAAACACAAUGAAGGGGAUGACAGCAUUUGCAUCAUCUGCUGUCACUGCCCAGAAAUAUUUCUCUCUAGUGUAGUAGGCAGACUUCAUUACAGGAUUGCUUAGGAUUCUCAUCUGCAGCAAACCCCUUCUGCCAGGCUGCUGUGUGAUGGCAUUAACCAUCUUCAAUGAGAAGCCUUCCUCCCACCUCUCAGGGGUUUCUACCCUGCUCCUCUCAAUCUUCCACAGAACCUAGAUUUUUCCUGACUGAUCUGGGUCUCUUCUGCCUUGUCUUUGUAUCUGCUGAAGUUCCUAGGAAGAUCUGAUUCUUGAAAUCACCACUCCUUUUCUUCCUCUCCAAAAUACAAGUUUAUUUCAGUGAAGAAAUAUGGUUUACAGCUGAAGCUCAAACCCACAAGGAAAACAGGUGUUCUUCUCCUGAUUCUUUGUCUUUCUCACAAUUUGACAAUUUUGGUUUCAAUUGUACUGGAAAAGCUACCCUCAGCUCUUGUCAGCAUGGCCUCAACAAUCUUUGGAAUGUAAAAUUAAUGUCUCUCACAUUGUAUGUAUUUAAUUGAUGCACCGGAAGCGCACACAGCUCCUCAUUCCCUGUGCACUACAAGAAUGUGUUCAGGCCUCUUCUUUGGCCAGAAGGACAUAAGUUCUUAUGUGUGUAUGAAGGCACAUCAAGGAGAAGUGUGACAAAUCUUGUCUCUUCAGGCCUCACUGGAUAUGACUGGAUAUUCUGGUCACUACCAGUUUAUUCAGCAGUAACAGGGCAUAUCUAUGGGACUCCUGUGUCUUCACAUCUCCAGUUUUGAUUUUAUCAAGAAUCUAGAUUAAUUUGCAUCGUGAUGGAUUAAAAAAAUAAAGAAGCUGGGGUUAUUAAUAAACGUUUUCACAGUGACCUCUUCCCCCAGUGCAGUUUCCUCACACAGCAUCCUCUCUAGGAGGAAAGUAAGGGCAUGGAUGCUUCCCAUAGCCCAAGCUGUGUGCAAGUUGGUGAGCAGGGCUAAGGACAUGUUCCCUAGCAGGGUGCACACUGCUAGGCAAAAGAACUGGCCAACCCAGUUGAACAGAGCAGCCUACACAGAAGAACCUCUAGAUGAAGGUGUUUACCCUAUUACUGGAGGUUUCAAAACACAGGUUACCCAAACACCUGAAACUAUGUGUUAAUGCACAGCACAUGGAUUCUUGGCACUAGGGAGCAAGAAAAACAUCUUAAAUACACCUAAAGUUCACUAGAAUUGUGUGUCUGAUGAAGAACUGCAUCAACUGUUAAUAUGCACAUAGGUAAUUUUCCACUCAGCAAGAAGAGUAGCAGAUUAUACUUAAAGAUGGGAGAAAGCCACAGUGGUCCAAUGCUUGACGUGCUCCCUUUGCUUCCCUCCUCAGCUGGGAAACCCGAAAGCAAGAUAAAAUCCUGUGCAGGCUGUUUGAAAAACACAAACACACUCUGGAUCAGGAG